Molecule: ribosomal RNA, 504 nt
Filed under: uncultured bacterium
Lineage: Bacteria
Description: partial 16S ribosomal RNA
Rfam family: Bacterial small subunit ribosomal RNA
Source: RNAcentral
GAUAAACGCUAGCGGCAGGCUUAACACAUGCAAGUCGAGGGGCAGCAUAGAUUGUAGCAAUACAAUUGGUGGCGACCGGCGCACGGGUGCGUAACGCGUAUGCAACCUACCCGUCACAGGGGGAUAAUCCGGAGAAAUCUGGUCUAAUACCCCAUAACAUAUGGAUCGGCAUCGGUUCAUGUUGAAAUUUUCGGAGGUGACGGAUGGGCAUGCGUAGCAUCAGCUUGUUGGCGAGGUAACGGCUCACCAAGGCGACGAUGCUUAGGGGGACUGAGAGGUUUUCCCCCCACACUGGAACUGAGACACGGACCGGACUCCUACGGGAGGCAGCAGUGAGGAAUAUUGGUCAAUGGGCGCAAGUCUGAACCAGCCAUGCCGCGUGCAGGAUGACGGCUCUAUGAGUUGUAAACUGCUUUUGUACGAGGGUAAAGUGGGUUACGUGUAACCUUUUGAAAGUAUCGUACGAAUAAGGAUCGGCUAACUCCGUGCCAGCCGCCGCCGUAA